AGAGUUUGAUCCUGGCUCAGGACGAACGCUGGCGGCGUGCUUAACACAUGCAAGUCACGGGGGCUCGCAAGGGCAACCGGCGAACGGGUGCGUAACACGUGAGCAAUCUGCCGAUUUGAGGGGGAUAGCCGGCCCAACGGCCGGGUAAUACCGCAUACGCUCUUUGAGUGGAGUCACUUGAAGAGGAAACCUCCGGGGCAAAUCGAGGAGCUCGCGGCCUAUCAGCUAGUUGGCGGGGUCAAGGCCCACCAAGGCGACGACGGGUAGCUGGUCUGAGAGGAUGGCCAGCCACAUUGGGACUGAGAGACGGCCCAGACUCCUACGGGAGGCAGCAGUGGGGAAUCUUGCGCAAUGGCCGAAAGGCUGACGCAGCGACGCCGCGUGUGGGAUGACGCCUUUCGGGGUGUAAACCACUGUUGCCCGGGACGAACGAGAUCUUUCGAGAUCUGUGACGGUACCGGGUGAGGAAGCACCGGCUAACUCCGUGCCAGCAGCCGCGGUAAUACGGAGGGUGCGAGCGUUGUCCGGAAUCACUGGGCGUAAAGGGCGCGUAGGCGGCUUGGGAAGUCCGUGGUGAAAGCUCGUGGCUCAACUACGAGUCGGCCAUGGAUACUCCUAAGCUCGAGUCGACUAGAGGCUAAUGGAAUUCCGGGUGUAGCGGUGGAAUGCAGAGAUCCGGAAGAACACCGGUGGCGAAGGCGGUUAGCUGGGGUCGAACUGACGCUGAGGCGCGACAGCGUGGGGAGCAAACAGGAUUAGAUACCCCCGUAGUCC
RNAcentral lists this ribosomal RNA (774 nucleotides) under uncultured bacterium. Its description in RNAcentral is "bacterial SSU rRNA". It matches the Rfam family "Bacterial small subunit ribosomal RNA", at positions 8 to 796 of the family's 1533-position model. The record is from RNAcentral.